Leptonychotes weddellii (Weddell seal) is the source of this 249-nucleotide non-coding RNA. The record is from RefSeq and is a predicted model, not a curated record. NCBI's taxonomy places the organism in Eukaryota, Metazoa, Chordata, Mammalia, Carnivora, Phocidae.
AUUCUGAUUCCUGAAUGUGGGAUUCUGUCAAAAGAACUGAAAAACCUAGUCAUGGAAACUGGACCCUAUUACUUUGUGAAGAACUUACCUCUUCAUGAGUUAAUUACACACGAAUUCAUCAACACCUUUGUGAAGAAAGGUUCGUGCUGUGCACUAACAUACAAUACAAAUAUCGAUGAAGAUAAUACUGUGGCCCUGCUGCCAGACGGUAACAACACUCACUUUCUCUUUAAUUUUAAAAGAAAUACU